UCCGUGAUGACGCGGAGGGACAUUA
This 25-nucleotide ribosomal RNA is filed under the name Sarocladium kiliense. RNAcentral's name for it is "partial 18S ribosomal RNA". Lineage: Eukaryota; Fungi; Ascomycota; Sordariomycetes; Hypocreales; Sarocladiaceae. The record is from RNAcentral.